UGAAAUGUUAUUUUCAGUUAGCUGUUAUGGUUUCGAAAAGUAUGUUGUAAUGGCUUUUUUUCUAUGAUGCAAUUGUUUCCGUUUGUUGCUGUAUCGCAUACCCCAUCUGAUAAUUGAAAUUGGUUUUGAGGCUUUCUGUAGGUGUGAGAUUCAAGGUUUGAAACUGACUUGUGAUUUGCAUUUCGAAGCUGUUUUCUUUUAACUGAAACUGUCAAGGCACUUACCAUGACAGGUUGGAGGUUUUCAUAGUUUCUUGAAUUGGAUUUUUGAUAUGUGUACUUGAAAGCUUGAUGCUAUGGAAGAUAAUUUGGACGUGAAGAAAACAUGAAGCAAAUGGUCAAUGAGCUUAAGCCCAAUAAAACCCAGAAGGCUUUUUUCAAACU
Long non-coding RNA from Vicia villosa (hairy vetch), 383 nucleotides. RefSeq lists it as uncharacterized. NCBI's taxonomy places the organism in Eukaryota, Viridiplantae, Streptophyta, Magnoliopsida, Fabales, Fabaceae. The transcript is spliced from 3 exons. The record is from RefSeq and is a predicted model, not a curated record.